Molecule: small RNA, 2154 nt
Filed under: Pan troglodytes (chimpanzee)
Lineage: Eukaryota; Metazoa; Chordata; Mammalia; Primates; Hominidae
Description: retained intron
Source: RNAcentral
AGUCCUGUUUUAUGGCCUCACGUGUUUUCGGGAACAGGGAGCGAGCUUUCUUCUAGGCAACUGGCCGUCACCCACCAGGGGUUAGCCCCCCUGGCUGAUCAUGGCCAGGCUGGGCAGGACGUGGGCUUAGGGCUUGUGAGGCCAACCCUCUGCCAGCUGGGAGGCCCAGGGCACGGGGAUGGCCAGGCUACCCAGUGAGCUGUCAGCUGUGCCAGGACAGACCCCAGGCUCCUGGUGGCCCUGCUUUGAUGCACGGCUCUGUCUCCCAACCUGGGGGCAGCCGAGUCCCCCUCCCCGCCCCACUGCAGGAAACUGGCCGUCCCUGCCACCUGGGUGUGCGUAGAAAAAAGCUAGAGGUUCCCAUGGCUUUAUCCAGCUGGGCUCAGAGAACAAGAUGGGCUGCAAAGGGCUUUUCCAGAUCCUUCUCUUCGGCUGAGUUCUCAUUGUUAAAGCCACGCCCUGGAUCCUGCAGGACCCAGGAGCCAAGAAAGCCUGCAGACGGGCAGCCGUGGCUCAGGUGUUCCCCUUGCACAGGUGGACAGAGGAUCAGAGCCCACGGGGCUCACCCUGCCACGUCCCCACCCAUUCGGCAGAAGGGGAAGUUGAGGCCCAGAGGCAGGGAGAGCUUCCCCCAGGGACACACAGCACAGGAGAGCCAGCUGGGAGCCCCUCCCCUGACUCCCUGCCCGGUGCUCCUGAUGCCUCCCGGCCGGCUGGCUGUGGGGGUGUCUGAGGGUGGAGUGGCUAUGGGAAGAUGGCAGGGGGAGGCACAGCCACCCUUACAGACACCCCAUUCCCAGCACUCCUUCCUCACACCCAGACCCCUUGCCUCCCACCCAGACAUGAGCGCCAGCCCCCAGGAAGGCCAGGAGGAUGGGCCGGCAGGAUGGAGAGCGAAUCUGAAGCCCGUGGACAGGAGAAGCCCAGCUGAGAGGACUCUGAAGCCCAAGGAACCACAGGCCCUGGCAGAGCCGAGGGCGGGGGAGGCCCCCAGGAAGGUCUCAGGCAGCUUUGCUGGGAGUGUCCACAUCACCCUGACCCCCGUGAGGCCUGACAGGACCCCACGCCCAGGCAGCCCAGGACCCAGCCUCCCAGCCAGGUCCCCCUCCCCACCCCGCCGCAGGAGACUGGCCGUCCCUGCCAGCCUCGACGUUUCUGACAACUGGCUUCGGCCGGAGCCCCCUGGCCAGGAAGCCCGAGUGCAGAGCUGGAAGGAGGAGGAGAAGAAACCCCACCUUCAGGGCAAACCAGGGAGACCCUUGUCCCCGGCCAAUGUCCCUGCUCUGCCUGGCGAGACGGUGACCUCCCCAGUCAGGGUGAGUAGUGGUGGGGAGCCGGGCAGGGGCCUAGCCCUCCGGCAUCCUCACCGCUCCUCCGUUCCCAGCUGCACCCCGACUACCUCUCCCCGGAGGAGAUACAGAGGCAGCUGCAGGACAUCGAGAGGCGGCUGGACGCCCUGGAGCUCCGUGGCGUGGAGCUGGAGAAGCGACUGCGGGCGGCCGAGGGAGAUGACGCUGAGGAUAGCCUCAUGGUGGACUGGUUCUGGCUCAUUCACGAGAAGCAGCUUCUGCUGAGACAGGAGUCAGAGCUGAUGUACAAGUCCAAGGCCCAGCGUCUGGAGGAGCAGCAGCUGGACAUCGAGGGUGAGCUGCGCCGGCUCAUGGCCAAGCCCGAGGCUCUGAAGUCACUGCAGGAGCGGCGGCGGGAGCAGGAGCUGCUGGAGCGGUACGUGAGCACCGUGAACGACCGCAGUGACAUCGUGGACUCGCUGGACGAGGACCGGCUCCGGGAACAAGAGGAGGAUCAGAUGCUGCGGGACAUGAUUGAGAAGCUGGGCCUCCAGAGGAAGAAGUCCAAGUUCGGCUUGUCCAAGAUCUGGUCACCAAAAAGCAAAAGCAAAAGCAGCCCCUCCCAGUAGUAGCCAGUAGGGCCGUGGGCUCGGCCCGGACCUGGCAUCCGGACUUGGACUCGGGGCCAUGGGCUUGGCCCGGACCCGGAACCCGGACUUGGACUCGGGGCCAUGGGCUCGGCCCGGACCCGGCAUUCGGACUUGGACUCGGGAAGGGCCUCCUGUCCCUACAAGGGGCAUGUGGACAGCAGGGACCUGCGCUACCGUCUGUGGUCUCAAUAAAGAAACCGACCACAUGGCCCCGG